UACGUAGGGGGCGAGCGUUGUCCGGAUUUAUUGGGCGUAAAGAGCUCGUAGGCGGCUUGAUAAGUCGGCUGUCAAACCCCCAGGCUUAACCUGGGGCAGUCAAUCGAUACUGUCAUGGCUAGAGUCCGGUAGGGGAUCACGGAAUUCCUGGUGUAGCGGUGAAAUGCGCAGAUAUCAGGAGGAACACCAGUGGCGAAGGCGGUGAUCUGGGCCGGUACUGACGCUGAGGAGCGAAAGCGUGGGGAGCAAACAGG
RNAcentral lists this ribosomal RNA (254 nucleotides) under uncultured organism. Its description in RNAcentral is "partial 16S ribosomal RNA". It matches the Rfam family "Bacterial small subunit ribosomal RNA", at positions 524 to 776 of the family's 1533-position model. The record is from RNAcentral.